GCCUGCCUUUGUGAGCCUAGCGCGCCGGGGCCCGGACUGGGGCCACUACGUCACAAAGGGAUGAGAUGAGGCGGCAGAACCUAGGGCUUAGGAGUGAAUGGUACGGGAGCACAAAGGGAUGGAGAGAUUGUUCUCUGCCAGUGAGGGUGAAGGGGUUGGAGGAGGAUGUGGCGUGCUCUCCGGAUCAUGGCGAGAAAGAACAGAUUGUGAAGACAGAAUAAGUCAACCUGAAAGCAAACCACAGUUUGGAACCAAGCCAAGCUUAGCAUCAGUUGACCCACAGAUCCAAUUUUUUCAUAAUCAAGAAAUAAAUGUGUGUGUGUACAUGCUA
This is a long non-coding RNA of Homo sapiens (human), 331 nucleotides long. RefSeq lists it as uncharacterized. The record is from RefSeq and is a predicted model, not a curated record. The transcript has 2 exons. NCBI's taxonomy places the organism in Eukaryota, Metazoa, Chordata, Mammalia, Primates, Hominidae.